This is a long non-coding RNA of Homo sapiens (human), 321 nucleotides long. Lineage: Eukaryota; Metazoa; Chordata; Mammalia; Primates; Hominidae. The record is from Ensembl.
AACGCUCACACCACCACGCCGUACGCUGCGUUAGCGGAAGUUUAAUGGCCCCAUUGGUGGGAUGCGUGGCCAAUAAAGGGCAAGAAUAAGGCGGAUUCCGCCUUCCUCGUGGCUGACUGGAUGCAUCCGCUGGUACUGAUUUACGAAGAGAAUGAUCAUGAAGGGCAAAUGGCAGUGAAGCAAGAAGAGCUGGCUUCAGGCUCAGAAGAGAAUGCUGUGCCUCUUCCUCAUGGUUUGCGGUGCCCUGCAUGUUCAGAGAAACUUCUCUAGUAAUGAAUGAACUAUAGAAAUGAUCCCUGAAAAUAUGGUCUUGAUACUUUA